AUCUGAAACAUUGUAAGUCAACUGUACUUCAUUGAAAGAUAUAUAUUUAAAAAAAAAUGAGACAAUAGUAACUUGACAAUUGUGACACAACCACUCAGGUAUUUAGCUGAUAUCCUAAUGACCUCUAUGUAUCUUAGAAGCCAAGAGACCUUAAGACUUCAAAAACUCUGCUCAUGCCCAUUCCAGAAUCAGCUGAAAGAGAAAUCUUGAACUGGUACCAAAGGAACAUCAGAAAUGAACAGUAAAAAUUGGCAGCUUCCUGAACAAACAAGUCUUCAUCACACAGUUUUAACUCUAUAUGAAGUAAAUUCAUCUAAUUAGUGGCUACAUCUAUGUUUGAAUACAGGGCCUAUUUCAAAGCAAAGCAAACUGUAAAAAAUUAUGAAUUAUGUUGGAUUAUCCACGUGUCAUAUUUCAUUCAUCUGUGCAGAUAGUCUGAAUCUGAUCAUCAUUGAGGAAAAUGAUUAUAGAACAUGGAUGCUAUAUACCUGCAAAGGGGCUAGUCUCCUUCCUCAUAGAUGUCAUAUCCUUGGAAGGAAUGAAUAAGUAAAUGAGCCCCAAGGAGCUGAUUAAUGGGCAUCCCUUCCAGAGUGAUUCAUAUGCCACCCCUGCCUGUGUGACCAUUAUGGAUUUAUUAACAUUAAAGCAAUGCUAUUCAAACAGGUAUCAAAACAUUUUCAUGUGAUGGAACACCAGGUGAAAUAUUACUGCAACCUCUCAGCAGACUGAAACAAGCUGAGAUAAUUGCCCUGCUAAGGAGAACAGACUCAACCUCCAGAUGCCACUUAAGGCCCUGAGUUCUGUCUUCUAGAAUUUCUUUACUUGAUGAAAUAAUGGCCUGAUGUUAUGCUCAGAAUCAGCCCCCCUCAUAUUGUGAUACCCAAUGGAUACCACUAAUUGCAACCCUUCUGCUCCAAAACAUCUUCCAAGACUUAAUUACAGAAUAAGUGAGGGAGCUCUGGCUGAGGAGUUCCUGUCAUUUCCUGGGUACCUCCAGCUACAUUCCUGGUUCACUGAGGGCAGGGUAAUGGUGGAGGGUGGACAGUAACAGAGUGGAGACCAGAGCCCUCUCUCUCCAAAGAGUAAAGAGCAGGAAUGAGGUCUUCAAAUGUUUUUCUAUAGGACAGAAAGAAAUAGAGCAAUGCCUGCCUUCAGCAAGCUCAUCACCAUGCUGGGGAUCCCAUGAUUGUUCAUGUGAGAAGUAAGCUGACCUUCCAAGGCAGAGGAUGGUCACCACAAAGUCAUUUUCAGAAAGUCACACUCUGAAGGUGAUAGUGUGCUUAUGAACUGGGGGAACAAGAGCAAAGGAGUGACAAAGUCUAGCAGGUCUUCUAGGAGAGGCCCAGGAAGCUGGAUGCUAGCUGUUGGCACAUGACAGGGAAGGUAAAGCCAUGCUCAGACUCCUGAUGCUAAGCCUACUGCUUGUUGCUUUCUUUCUGUCUUCACUGAAGUUAACAUAUACAGAAGACUAGCUUGCUUAACGGGUAACAUUAAUGCAUUGAUGAAUGCAACAAUUCGACAGCUCUUGCUUUAUCCCAACAGGUCUUUUGUUCUGCUUACAUGCAUGAUAUCACUUUGCUUCUUCCCGCUUACUGAGCACCUACUACGUGCCAAGGUCUGAACCUGACUCUGGGGAAGGUGUACAAGACCCUCAGGAGACUUUCACUCUGACUAUGGAGGCAGGGUUCACACACAUAAGAAACAGGCAACUGAUGAUGACUGGAGUAAGGUGUUCUGAGCAAUAGUGAAAGGCUGGGAUGGAAGUGCAAUUAGAAGGCACGAGAGUUAAACGUCAGCAUGACGGAGGAUGACUGAGAGUCCCUGGGCUGAGAAGGGGGCAGUGAAGAACCCCAGACAGGGAGCACAGAGGUGUGGAGUGAGGAGCAUCGGUCAGAAAAGCGAAUUAUCCACAGUGGCUCAGAGUAACAUGCUUUAGCAGCUGGCCACAGACGAGCCUGCAAACCAGCCAAAGACAGCUUGGGAAGCACUGUCCUUGGGGUUUGAACUUGAACAUGUAGGCUAAAGGCCAACAGUUUCUGUACACAGCCAGAUCAUAAAUACUUUGGUUGGACAAUCUCUGCUGCAACUAGUCAACUCUGCCCUUACAGGGUAAAAGCGGCCAUAGACAAUAUGUAAAUGAAAGGGCAUGGCGGUGUUCCAAUAAAAUUUUAUUGACGGAAACAGAAACUCAGAUGGAUUUGGCCGGUGGCUGGAUUUGCUAACCCCUCUCCUCUCAGUAGACUGACUCAUAGCCACACUCCAGUCUCAAGUGAUACAAACAAAGGAAUCAUUCUGAAACCAGGUGUGCUCCCUAAAGUAUAUAUGGACACAGGUGUCUAUUAAAUUAAGACUAGAUCACCACAGAUCUAACCUGUAAAUCUGGCAUUGCGUCUGAGAUGGAAAGGGUGUCUUGCAAAGGAAAAUGUGAAAAUCAGGGGUUGAUUAAUGUAAAACAGGGGCCAGCAUUUUAAAUGAACACCAUCCAUCUUCUUUUCUUUUAAUAUUGAAGUGAGAAGAAGGACUUGGAUCAAUGCCCUCAUCAAUGGCUAACUCCUCCCUGUCUUCUCAGAAUAAAACUAACUUGCUAAAUGAGAAGACAAGAAAACAACAGCAAUAGCAGCAACAACAACAUCAAUAAUGAAAACCAACCUUUCUUUCUGAAGAGGGUUUCCAAACAGAACACAUACACAUUCUGUGGUAAUUAACAACAUCCACCUCCCUUACUAUGCUGAAGUUUCUGCAAACCAGAAUUAAAUUGAAUAUGUCAACUCUAAAUCUCCUGUCACAGGGAAUUUUGUAGCAAGUCUUCAUGAUGGCACAAAUGUAAUCUUCAGUACAGCCAGAGGAGGAACUAAGAUCAUAAAGAGGUUUUUCAGUAAGACAAGGACCUGCUUUAAUUCACUCUAAGGCAGGAUGCCCCCAUGUUAAAAAGAACCAUGUUCUGAACUUUUCCGUGCAAUUUGAAUAAUUUUUCUCUCAGAAACAUAGUAUAAAUGUGGGUUAGCGCCCAGGCUUAGCCCUGUAAAAGCUUAUUUAAACCAAAAGAGAAAUGAAAACAGUAGGAAGCAAUGGCUUUGUAGUACCGGUAAUUAAGUAAAUCAAAAGCAAUUAUGAUUAGAAAAUCAUUUUUUUUAAAAAUCUCUUUACAAACAGAGUUAAAUAAAAGAUAGGGGAUUCAUUUUGAGAUUCUCAUCAGUUAUAGCCCUUCCUUGCUGAUUGCUUGUUAGAUCCCAGACUCACCAGCUUUCCUGCUAUUCUUUAAAGACUAUAAGCUUGUGUUGACACUGGGCCUUAAUAACUGCUGAUCUAUCAGUCAGAAGCAGAUUUCCAAUAGGUUUUUGAAUGUCUAACUCCUUCUCAUUUUCAAGACCUCUUGGGCCUCUCCAUGAAUAUAUAAAAGAGACCCUCCCAACCCUAGUCAGCAUCUGUACUAUCAGCCUGCGUCAUUUUAAACAGAGAAUAUGAAGACAUAAAUUAUUUACUUUACAUUUGGUUUACUGGUUCACUGUCCAUCUCCUUACACAUAAAGUGCAUGCAAGCAGAACUCUGUCUUCUAUAUCCUGGUAAGUGCUCAAUUAAAUAUUUUACUGGUGAAUGGACUCUGAAGGAAUGUUUAUAUGGAUGCUUUCAAAAGUUUCUUUAUUUUGUUAUUUUGUGAUUUAUUUUCUCUAAUAUAACUUUGAAUUUUCUCUAAUUCUUUAAUCCCCAAACCAAUGUUCAUCCAUUAUUUGAUAUAGGGACCUGGACCAAGAAUCUUUUUUUUUUUUUUUUAAUAUUUAUUGAUCAACACAAAUACCUGGGGUAUAAUGGAAUAAUUGUGGUCAAGAGGGGGAGAAAGAAGUAGAAGAAAGCAGAUUAAAAAAAAAAUCAAAACUAUACAUUAUUAAUAAAAAAGAGAAUAUAAUGUUGGCUCUACUAGCCGCAUGUCUACAAAGGCAUAAAAACAGGGGAGAUGAAAACUAAAUCUAUUGAAAAGGGAAAAGGGAGGCUCUGAGAAUGACAGAACAAAAAUAUUGCCAUAGGUCCCUGGGGAGCACCAAUGUCACAGUGCAGAGUCACAAUUCAAAGGGGAUUUUACACUGAGUAGGGAGAACUAUGCUAAUAAGAAGCAAAGAACAAAAAGAAGAGCAAUCAUUGAAAAUCUACCAUAAGCAAGAAACUGUGCUCUUUGUAUAUUUAAUUAUUACAACAAUCUUUUGAGGUUCAAAUUACAUUAUCCUUAUUUUUCCAACCUUGGAAAAUUAAAUUCAAAGUUAAACAAUGUAAACCAGAAAGCAUUCUGUUUUAUGGAUCCAGAUUUGAAUCAAGGUUUAUCUAGUAGUUUUUUUUUCCUAUGAUGUUUCUCCAGGAAGGACACAUAUUAGACGUUUAUACUUAUUUAGCAAACAAAUAAUGAACAAGUUUGGAUAUUUUCUUUUUAAAAAAAGUAAAUUCUGCUUAAUAAAAUUGCUUUAAAUGAUAAC
Non-coding RNA from Odocoileus virginianus texanus, 4463 nucleotides. The record is from RefSeq and is a predicted model, not a curated record. NCBI's taxonomy places the organism in Eukaryota, Metazoa, Chordata, Mammalia, Artiodactyla, Cervidae.